This 93-nucleotide transfer RNA is filed under the name Chaetomium globosum CBS 148.51. It matches the Rfam family "tRNA". From Rfam's summary of the family: Transfer RNA (tRNA) molecules are approximately 80 nucleotides in length. Their secondary structure includes four short double-helical elements and three loops (D, anti-codon, and T loops). RNAcentral also lists the same sequence under 2 other names. Lineage: Eukaryota; Fungi; Ascomycota; Sordariomycetes; Sordariales; Chaetomiaceae. The record is from Rfam by way of RNAcentral.
GCGGGUUUAGCUCAGUUGGGAGAGCGUCAGACUGAAGUAAAACUUCGGGAACUACAAAUCUGAAGGUCAUGUGUUCGAUCCACAUAAACCGCA